Molecule: long non-coding RNA, 4548 nt
Filed under: Brassica napus (rape)
Lineage: Eukaryota; Viridiplantae; Streptophyta; Magnoliopsida; Brassicales; Brassicaceae
Description: long non-coding RNA (BNAP_LNC005509)
Source: RNAcentral
AACUCGCACUUCCUUCAUAUUCAUUUCUUUUUAGUUUUUUUUUUUCAUUUUUUCUUUACCUUGCCAUCAAAACAACCAUGGCAAGGAUCUCUCUGUUGUUAUUUAUAGCCGUGGUUCUAGCCAUUGGCUCCGUCUCAGCUCACCCACCUAAGAAAAUCAAAAAGAACUUAUGUCCACCUACAUUGUCCCAACUCCAAACUUUCCCCUCCAUCGAAAUCUCUAAGCUCAUCGAAAAGAAGAUCAAAUCCGCACCCAACACACCUCAGUUCAGCACUUUGUUCGCCAUCUGCAAAGGCUACAGCGACUACCUCGCUGUUUUCAAGGUUAAAGCCGUCAAGAGUGCGUUUGGUUCUAUUCAUACCAAAUUCGUUAUGAUGACUGAGGCGAUGUUUGCGGCUCAAGCAGCUGUUGGUGUUGAAGGUGAGCUUGCGUCUGGGGUGCGGAAGAGCUACAAGGUGAUGGCUGAUGGGUUUGUUGAGCUUGAGCAGAUGAUUGCUGAGAUCUCGGCCAAGUAUAAUUUCGAUGCUAAUGCUCAGAUAAGCAUGGCUGACAGGUUCAAGAUUGAGAAGUGUUUGAUUAAGUUGAAGGGUUACAUUAAUGUUUUCGUGAAGGUGAUCACUAAGUGCAGUGCCAAAUUCGCCGGGAAGCCGAUGGGGAACCCCGUUGUAGCCGGUAGCCUUUUCGAUGGUUUCCUCAAGAAGGGUGUCCAACUUGGCGGUAACUUCCUCGGAGCCAUCGGCGGUAAUGCCGGAGCCGGAGUCGGAGGUAAUGCCGGAGCCGGAGCCGGAGUCGGAGGCCUUGUUGGAGGCAUGGUCGGAGGCCUUGUUGGAGGCAAGGUCGGAGGUCGUGGCAGAGGCGGCAAGGCCGGAGGCAAAUUCGGAGGUAAGGUCGGAGGCCUUGUUGGAGGCGAGGUCGAAGGUCAUGCUGGAGGCAACGCCGGAGCUCAAGGCGAAGUUAUAGUCGAAGGUAAUGCCGGAGCUGGAGUCGAAGUCGGAGGCCUUGUUGGAGGCAAGGUCGGAGGCCGUGGCAAAGGCAAGGUCGGAGGUCGUGUGGGAGGCAACUUUGGAGCUCAAGGCGAAGUUAAAGUCGGAGGUCAAGCUGGAGCCGGAGGCAAGGUUGGAGGUCAACUAACAGAACAAGAUGAGUCCUAAAAAAAUCAAUAUCAACAUGAUACAACUAAAAUCAAUUUACGUACCUAGAAAGAGAUGAACCUUUUUUAAAAAAAAAAUUUAAAAUAAUAUCAAUUUAAAAAUCAUAUCAGUCAUAGAACUAAAAUGAAAACAACAAUAACUAAACACUAAGUAUAUAACUGAACAUAUAAAAAGGACUAGAGAAAGAAAACAUAUAAACAGGAAAAAGAUCUGAAGACAGCAAAAACUAAGAACUUAAUAUAAUUAAACAUAUAGAAAAAAUGACUGAGAACAUAUGAAUGGAAAAUACAUAUCAUACAAGGAACAAACCAAAAAUGAAGGAAAUUUGAUUUUAUCAUAAGUCCAAAUUUCAAUAACUAACUAUAUACACAAAAUUAUUGAACAUCAGAAAGCGGUUGGUAGGAAACGUUAAUAUUAAAAUUUAUAGAGAUUAAAAAAACACAUUUACUAAAUAUAUAUAAUAUAUUAUAAAACUAAUCGAAAUAAUACAUGAAAAUUAAUACAUGCCAUAAUAUUAUUAACAAGAUUUAACUUUAACGAUCCCAUAAUAUUUAAAGCUUCAAAUGAUAAUUAAUGAAAAUUAAAAUACAAAAAAACGUAAUACCACAUAAAGUUAAAAACUGAGAGCAAGAAAAUAACAUCAGAUAAUUUUAUUAUUCUCAUUUCUAAGUUUCAUGAAUUAUAAAUAUAUUGUAUAAUAUCAAAAUAUGGUACAAAUUAAUUUUUUUUUAAAAAAUCAUACUUCAAAUGUUUAGAAAAAUAUAUAAAUAAUGAAAAUUAUCUAACAAAUAAAAAUUUACAAAAAAUACAAACUUAAACAAAACAACUUAGAAGUAUUAACCGCGCGUAGCGCGGUAAGAAGCUCUAGUUAUUAUAAACAGAGAAAAAAAAGGAAAUGGAUGGUGCCUAUGGUAAAUGGUAAAAAGAUAAUUAAUACAUAAUAUACACAGAAUAUCAUAGUAAAACAUUUGCAAUGGUUAUAAACUUAAUUUCGUUGGUAGUUAUGUAUACAAAUCCUAAUUUCUGUAUGUAUUAACCAUUGUGUGGAUUUUUUUAAAUUGUAUGGAAUUCUUGUUUGGGUCAAUUAGCCAAAUAGCUAAAAUUUGAAGUGAAAUUAAGAGAAUGGCAUUGAUUUUGACGUAAUUGGGUAACUAACAUUUAAGGUCCAUUUGAUCCGGUAAUACCCUUGGUUGGUGCAAGUAACCGGUGAAAGAUAGAAAGUUAGAUGACGUAAACAAAUUGAGGUAUGGCUAAUAUUUAAAUCACAUCUGAGUGAAUAUAAGGAAUCACGUCACAUAUUUAUGACCACAUACAUAUGUUUCAGUGUUCUAUUCCACAUCACCGAAAUAAAACAGAUUUCUAACCUCACUCACAUACUCUAAUACUAAACAUUAUCCCAAAUCUAACCCAUAUAUACUAAACAUUAUCCAAAUCCCACCCCAACCCCUUAAUACUAAACCCUAAACCUUAAUCAAUAAACCCUAAACUCAAAUACAUAACUCUAAACCCAAAUAUAAAUUCUAAACCCAAAUAUAAAUUCUAAACCCAAAUAGAAUGAAACAAAAUAAAUAAUAUGGUAUAUAUUGGUAAAAUUAUGAAAUGUCUAUAAUUUCGUAGAAGAAGUUGAUGUUGAUCCCAACUAUACCUCCUCAUCUUCUAAAUACUAAACCUUAAACUAUAUUCACUAAUUCCUAAACUCAAAUAUAAACCAUAAACCCAAAUAGAAUGUAACAAAAUAAAUAGCAUGGUAUAUAUUGGUGAAAUUAUGAAAUAUCUAUGAUUUCAUGGAAAAGGUUAAUGUGACCCAACUGUACCCAACUAUACCUUAAACUUUAAUCCCUAAACCCUAAAUAUAAACCCUACACGGAAAUAUAAACCCUAAUCCAAUGUCAACCCCAAUCUUUCAUAAACUAAACCCGAAUGGAACAAAAUGAUGAAAUAUCUAUGAUUUCAUGGAAGAAGUUAAUGCUGAUCCCCCAACCAUAUCCCCUCACCUUCUAAAUACUAAACCCUAAAUUAUAUUCACUAAACCCUAAACCAAAAUAUAAACCCUAAACCCAAAUAUAAAUCCUAAACCCAAAUAUCAAAGUCUAAAAAAUUACAUAUAUUAUGUAAAAUUAAAUUAUAUUAUGUAAUAUUAAACUACACAAUCUAGAUCAUAGCACGAUAUUUACUUGUUCAAAAACUAUAUUUCUUAACAAAAUAAAACACUCUUUAGUAAUCAUCAAAUGGAAUGGAACAUGAUAAAAUAGAAGAGUAGCAGAAUAUAUCGCAUUUCAUAACAGGAAUAGAACAAACAUAACACAUAUUGUUUUACAUUUCUAUUCCAUAUGCGAAUAGAAUAGAACAAACAUAACACAUAUUGUUUUACAUUUCUAUUCCAUAUGAGAAUAGAAUAGAACAAAAUAAACAGACACUGUUUAUCUUCUCCGAUCAACUUCAUCCACGGCGAAAAAAUGUAAUUGUAUCUCGCAACAUCAGUGGAGAUAAUACAUAUAACCGUAUGAGAGAGACAGAUUUUGUUGUUGAUACAGUAAAUAGAAGAGUUAGGGUAAUUGGCUACUCAAUCAAUUAUGCUUUUUUGUAGCGUCAUCUCACCUAAUUUCCCAAAGAAAUAACACAUAUUAUUUGAUAUAAAAGGUCAACUGUUUCAAACUUAGCUCUUGCAUUUGCUUUUGUGUUUACUGUUAUAACAAAACAAAUCUAUUUUCUGAAUGUAAACAAAAAUUGUAUGAUGAAAACUAAAUUUGUAUAUAUUCUAAUUACAGUAGCUAGACCAGUGGUUCUCCAGUAAUUGACUUCUUCUCACAAAUAGUUUGUUUUUGUGAUUCAUCAAAAUUGUUUAGACAAAGAAAAAUUCAAGUGAACGACCAUGAAUCUCUCUUUUGUAUUGUUGUGAUGGUUUUUUUCUGUUCUUGUAACCUUCCUUAACCUAUUUUUAGGCUUUGUGAAAAAUGUAUAUAUACCCUUCAAAAUCCUCAAUCAAAACUCGCACUUCCUUCAUAUUCAUUUCUUUUUAGUUUUUUUUUUUCAUUUUUUCUUUACCUUGCCAUCAAAACAACCAUGGCAAGGAUCUCUCUGUUGUUAUUUAUAGCCGUGGUUCUAGCCAUUGGCUCCGUCUCAGCUCACCCACCUAAGAAAAUCAAAAAGAACUUAUGUCCACCUACAUUGUCCCAACUCCAAACUUUCCCCUCCAUCGAAAUCUCUAAGCUCAUCGAAAAGAAGAUCAAAUCCGCACCCAACACACCUCAGUUCAGCACUUUGUUCGCCAUCUGCAAAGGCUACAGCGACUACCUCGCUGUUUUCAAGGUUAAAGCCGUCAAGAGUGCGUUUGGUUCUAUCCAUACCAAAUUCGUUAUGAUGACUGAGGCGAUGUUUGCGGCUCAAGCAGCUGUUG